UCCUCAUCUUAUCAUCCUUCUCCAUCCUCCACCGCUAUGAUGCUGCAUCUCUUCACGCAAGCUACAGUAAUGUGUUUUUUUGUGCUGGUCAGCGCUCAGCCCGAGGACUACAGGGUGACCGAGAGAGCUUAUGUGGUCCUGCAGAAGCAGAAUUUAGUCGCACUGGGGAGUGUCCUGGCUGUGCUGCUGUUGCUGAUGAUUAUUAUGGCUGUCUGUGUCUACAAACCGCUGUCUCGUCGCUGACAUCUUGGAGGAGAUAUGAACCGAGAGACUAUCCUAUUCUCUCUCUGAAUAACUACACCUGCUCCAGUACCGUGUAUCCAUCUCCAGCUGGGACCGGACUGAGGGGAAAGCAGAACCCUGCCACCUAGCUGCCAAAAAGCCUAACUAGACCUACCCAGUGUGCACAUUAAAUUCGAAAUCUUUACUGGGCUUUAAUUUAUCACGAUCUCAGGUCACGUAACAAUGUCAUUUGAAGUGUACACAGGCACACCUAGAGUGGAGUUCAAAGAUCUGAGACUGGGUCUCACGUUAUCAGCAGAAAACUGCUUUGCUGCUAUCACCUAUUUCACCUCUAGGCAAAGCUCAGUGGAGAUCAUGAAUAGACAAAGUUUCUAAGGGGGCAGUGAUACCAUGCACUUCAUUACAGUCUAAAACUUUGCAGAAACUGGAUCAGUUUUAUCCAAACCUCAUUUCAUUUCAGCAUUUGUUCACUGUCACUUAAAAGCAACUUCCUCGCAGGUAAAUAAGUUUCUAAAUAAACAAUACCAGACUCCAAAAACUGCAGUUGAAAUAACCACGUCAAGUCUUGGUCGCAGAGGAAGAGUGGUGAUCUCCAAACAGUUUCUUUGGGGUUGGGAAGCUUUGAAUGUUUGAGAUUUGUGUCAGUAGCAGGGUACACAGGGCGAGUACACAGGGCGAGAGAGGGAUAAUGGUGUAUGAAACCAAAAGUGACACAUGGUGGUGAAAAUAUUCAAGCUUCUCUUGAGAUGGACACCUGUGCUGAGCUGACUCCACCCUGACUCAGGAGAAGUGCCACUGUGUUCAUCAGAGAUGUCCUCCACCCUCUGGUUUUGGAGAAGAUUAAUACUGCUGCAGGAUAAUGAGCCUACUUGACUACUUGAAGACAGGGAAAGACAUCACAAGAAGCUCCGCGGAUCAUUUGCAUCAAUAGCUGUUUUGAAUUAAAACAGUGGUCGAUAUUCUAAAUGUACAUACAGUUUUAAGGCUUUUAGACCCCACUGAAUAUUAGUUCAUUUAAAAUUGCUUCUGUGAAAAGAGGGAAAUUAAAUUGAUUUUAAAAUGCUCACCAAAUUACACGACUAGUAAUCUGGGCCCUUACAUAUUGAAUGCCACAUUUUAUUUAUUUGGGCUUCAAACCUGGAAAUGUUGUUAAUAGGUGUAUUUUUUUUUUCUUGAUGAAAAGCGAGUUAUUUUGAUGCAACCAUUAAAUUUUGGGAUUACAAAGUGA
Archocentrus centrarchus (flier cichlid) is the source of this 1471-nucleotide long non-coding RNA. RefSeq lists it as uncharacterized. The transcript has 2 exons. The record is from RefSeq and is a predicted model, not a curated record. NCBI's taxonomy places the organism in Eukaryota, Metazoa, Chordata, Actinopteri, Cichliformes, Cichlidae.